CGUAGGCGGUUUGUUAAGUCGGAUGUGAAAGCCCCGGGCUCAACCUGGGAACUGCAUUCGAUACUGGCAGGCUAGAGUAUGGUAGAGGGAAGUGGAAUUCCGGGUGUAGCGGUGAAAUGCGUAGAUAUCCGGAGGAACAUCAGUGGCGAAGGCGGCUUCCUGGACCAAUACUGACGCUGAGGUGCGAAAGCGUGGGGAGCAAACA
RNAcentral lists this ribosomal RNA (205 nucleotides) under uncultured bacterium. RNAcentral describes it as "partial 16S ribosomal RNA". It matches the Rfam family "Bacterial small subunit ribosomal RNA", at positions 570 to 774 of the family's 1533-position model. The record is from RNAcentral.